This 1542-nucleotide ribosomal RNA is filed under the name Enterobacter sp. 155105. RNAcentral's name for it is "bacterial SSU rRNA". It matches the Rfam family "Bacterial small subunit ribosomal RNA". The record is from RNAcentral. Lineage: Bacteria; Pseudomonadati; Pseudomonadota; Gammaproteobacteria; Enterobacterales; Enterobacteriaceae.
AAAUUGAAGAGUUUGAUCAUGGCUCAGAUUGAACGCUGGCGGCAGGCCUAACACAUGCAAGUCGAGCGGUAGCACAGGAGAGCUUGCUCUCCGGGUGACGAGCGGCGGACGGGUGAGUAAUGUCUGGGAAACUGCCUGAUGGAGGGGGAUAACUACUGGAAACGGUAGCUAAUACCGCAUAACGUCGCAAGACCAAAGAGGGGGACCUUCGGGCCUCUUGCCAUCAGAUGUGCCCAGAUGGGAUUAGCUAGUAGGUGGGGUAACGGCUCACCUAGGCGACGAUCCCUAGCUGGUCUGAGAGGAUGACCAGCCACACUGGAACUGAGACACGGUCCAGACUCCUACGGGAGGCAGCAGUGGGGAAUAUUGCACAAUGGGCGCAAGCCUGAUGCAGCCAUGCCGCGUGUAUGAAGAAGGCCUUCGGGUUGUAAAGUACUUUCAGCGGGGAGGAAGGCGGUGAGGUUAAUAACCUCAUCGAUUGACGUUACCCGCAGAAGAAGCACCGGCUAACUCCGUGCCAGCAGCCGCGGUAAUACGGAGGGUGCAAGCGUUAAUCGGAAUUACUGGGCGUAAAGCGCACGCAGGCGGUCUGUCAAGUCGGAUGUGAAAUCCCCGGGCUCAACCUGGGAACUGCAUUCGAAACUGGCAGGCUAGAGUCUUGUAGAGGGGGGUAGAAUUCCAGGUGUAGCGGUGAAAUGCGUAGAGAUCUGGAGGAAUACCGGUGGCGAAGGCGGCCCCCUGGACAAAGACUGACGCUCAGGUGCGAAAGCGUGGGGAGCAAACAGGAUUAGAUACCCUGGUAGUCCACGCCGUAAACGAUGUCGACUUGGAGGUUGUGCCCUUGAGGCGUGGCUUCCGGAGCUAACGCGUUAAGUCGACCGCCUGGGGAGUACGGCCGCAAGGUUAAAACUCAAAUGAAUUGACGGGGGCCCGCACAAGCGGUGGAGCAUGUGGUUUAAUUCGAUGCAACGCGAAGAACCUUACCUACUCUUGACAUCCAGAGAACUUUCCAGAGAUGGAUUGGUGCCUUCGGGAACUCUGAGACAGGUGCUGCAUGGCUGUCGUCAGCUCGUGUUGUGAAAUGUUGGGUUAAGUCCCGCAACGAGCGCAACCCUUAUCCUUUGUUGCCAGCGGUUAGGCCGGGAACUCAAAGGAGACUGCCAGUGAUAAACUGGAGGAAGGUGGGGAUGACGUCAAGUCAUCAUGGCCCUUACGAGUAGGGCUACACACGUGCUACAAUGGCGCAUACAAAGAGAAGCGACCUCGCGAGAGCAAGCGGACCUCAUAAAGUGCGUCGUAGUCCGGAUUGGAGUCUGCAACUCGACUCCAUGAAGUCGGAAUCGCUAGUAAUCGUAGAUCAGAAUGCUACGGUGAAUACGUUCCCGGGCCUUGUACACACCGCCCGUCACACCAUGGGAGUGGGUUGCAAAAGAAGUAGGUAGCUUAACCUUCGGGAGGGCGCUUACCACUUUGUGAUUCAUGACUGGGGUGAAGUCGUAACAAGGUAACCGUAGGGGAACCUGCGGUUGGAUCACCUCCUUA